AUGAACGUGUUGCCCGGUUCGAUUGCAGACUUACUGAGAGCUCCUAGAAUGACAAAAGCACAGAAGAAAGAAUCUGUUCAGAAGACAAGAAACCAAGGAAACAGGAACUCCCUCAGGUUCAAAACUAACUUCAGUGAGAGCUCUGGGAUGACCCAUGUACAGGAGCAGAUGCUAUGCAGCAUAUAUCUGGAAGCAGUUGGAAGGGUACCAGCAUUUACUCCUUACUCUUACACAAGCAUGGACAAGUCUGUCUUUCCACAAGAUCAGCUGUGUGUUUUUGAAGUCUGCCUACACUGUUCUUCCAGUUUUCUUCACAGAUUUCUAAAAUAGAGGGAAGCAGCAGUCUUGUGGAAGAGACAAUGAUGAAACCAGAAGCAGAGCUACAACUGUUGCUGAAAACGUAUCCGGAGGACUCCUGGGUUCACAACCUGGUUCAUGUGACCAUGUAGAAGUUAACAUCUUUCCUCUUGAGAUAAACUGCAAUGUGAAUCUUUCAAUUUCAGACAUACUAAUCAUGAUUUUUAAUGUAUUUAUAACAUUGCUUUCUCAGCAAUAAUUGAUGAAUACUUGUUGGAUUUACUCCAUGAUUUUUAAUUUAAUACAUACUUACUCUAAUGUAAUUUUCAAAUAUACCUUUAUGGGCUUAUGUGCAAGAUUUUGCAUUUGUUAGGCUUUAUUUUUCCAUCUUAUUAUUUUCUGGGUUUUUUUCCUUUUUUUUUUUUCAGUGGAUAAAUACCUCUUGUAAUAAUGCGUCAGAGAGUAAAACACUUAGACUGUAUUCUCUGAUAUUAUUUUAGGAAUUCCUGAAAAGGUAAAAUUUGUUUUAGUUAUGAAAUUGUAGAGUAAGAUUUGAAAUCUAAAUUAAAUCAUCGCAUACAGAAUAUUUAGUGUCCUUCCCACUCCCACUACAAGCAAGAAGCAGAUGAAGAAAGAAUUCAAGCAUAAAAAUUACUUGAGAAGGAAAGAGAAAGAAAGGAAGAACGAAAGAAGAAAGAAAGAACAAAGUCCAGAGAAAGAAAGGGUUAGGAUUAGUGUUAGUUUAAGGGUUAGGAUUAGAGUUAGAGUUUGGGUUAGUGUUUAAUGUUAUUAGUGUUUUGGUUACGGUUAUGGUUAGGAUUCAGGAUAGGCUUAGGUUUAGGAUAGUUGCUGUAGGAAGUGGCAGUGAUCUUCUAGGGAGUUUGUUUGCCUGCACCGUGGCCUUGAAAAAACAACUGCAACAAAUUCUUUGUUAGUAGAUGAUUGCUAUUCCUUAUGACCUUUGAAAUAAAGUCAAGGCCGUUAGCA
RNAcentral lists this long non-coding RNA (1284 nucleotides) under Numida meleagris (helmeted guineafowl). Its description in RNAcentral is "lncRNA (ENSNMEG00000017642.1)". The record is from RNAcentral. Lineage: Eukaryota; Metazoa; Chordata; Aves; Galliformes; Numididae.